GACGAACGCUGGCGGCGUGCUUAACACAUGCAAGUCGAACGGAAAGGCCCUGCUUUUGUGGGGUGCUCGAGUGGCGAACGGGUGAGUAACACGUGAGUAACCUGCCCUUGACUUUGGGAUAACUUCAGGAAACUGGGGCUAAUACCGGAUAGGAGCUCCUGCUGCAUGGUGGGGGUUGGAAAGUUUCGGCGGUUGGGGAUGGUCUCGCGGCUUAUCAGCUUGUUGGUGGGGUAGUGGCUUACCAAGGCUUUGACGGGUAGCCGGCCUGAGAGGGUGACCGGCCACAUUGGGACUGAGAUGCGGCCCAGACUCCUACGGGAGGCAGCAGUGGGGAAUAUUGCACAAUGGGCGGAAGCCUGAUGCAGCAACGCCGCGUGCGGGAUGACGGCCUUCGGGUUGUAAACCGCUUUCGCCUGUGACGAAGCGUGAGUGACGGUAAUGGGUAAAGAAGCACCGGCUAACUACGUG
Molecule: ribosomal RNA, 468 nt
Filed under: uncultured bacterium
Lineage: Bacteria
Description: partial 16S ribosomal RNA
Rfam family: Bacterial small subunit ribosomal RNA
Source: RNAcentral